UAUUUAUUAGAUAAAAAACCAAUGCCCUUCGGGGCUCCUUGGUGAAUCAUAAUAACUUAACGAAUCGCAUGGCCUUGCGCCGGCGAUGGUUCAUUCAAAUUUCUGCCCUAUCAACUUUCGAUGGUAGGAUAGUGGCCUACCAUGGUAUCAACGGGUAACGGGGAAUUAGGGUUCGACUCCGGAGAGGGAGCCUGAGAAACGGCUACCACAUCCAAGGAAGGCAGCAGGCGCGCGAAUUACCCAAUCCCGACACGGGGAGGUAGUGACAAUAAAUACUGAUACAGGGCUCUUUUGGGUCUUGUAAUUGGAAUGAGUACAAUUUAAAUCCCUUAACGAGGAACAAUUGGAGGGCAAGUCUGGUGCCAGCAGCCGCGGUAAUUCCAGCUCCAAUAGCGUAUAUUAAAGUUGUUGCAGUUAAAAAGCUCGUAGUUGAACCUUGGGCCUGGCUGGCCGGUCCGCCUCACCGCGUGUACUGGUCCGGCCGGGCCUUUCCUUCUGGGGAACCUCAUGCCCUUCACUGGGCGUGUUGGGGAACCAGGACUUUUACUUUGAAAAAAUUAGAGUGUUCAAAGCAGG
This 576-nucleotide ribosomal RNA is filed under the name uncultured eukaryote. Its description in RNAcentral is "SSU rRNA". It matches the Rfam family "Eukaryotic small subunit ribosomal RNA", at positions 203 to 784 of the family's 1831-position model. The record is from RNAcentral.